This 72-nucleotide transfer RNA is filed under the name Camelus bactrianus (Bactrian camel). It matches the Rfam family "tRNA". From Rfam's summary of the family: Transfer RNA (tRNA) molecules are approximately 80 nucleotides in length. Their secondary structure includes four short double-helical elements and three loops (D, anti-codon, and T loops). The record is from Rfam by way of RNAcentral. RNAcentral also lists the same sequence under 1 other name. Lineage: Eukaryota; Metazoa; Chordata; Mammalia; Artiodactyla; Camelidae.
GAAGGUAUAGCUCAGUGGUAGACUGUAUGCUUAGCAUGCAUGAGGUCCUGGGUUCAAUCCCCAGUACCUCCA